Molecule: long non-coding RNA, 895 nt
Filed under: Cyanistes caeruleus (blue tit)
Lineage: Eukaryota; Metazoa; Chordata; Aves; Passeriformes; Paridae
Description: lncRNA (ENSCCEG00000015397.1)
Source: RNAcentral
CCUACUCUAGGGAGUGGAAGGUCAGGUCUCAUGUGAAAAGGAAGGUAAUCUGGACCAGUCAUAAAAUGUUAUGCUGAAAGCCUUAGGAUAAGUAGAUCACUCCUAAUACCUCUUUUCCUCUCCUAAUCUCUCUUGCAGUAACCUUAGCCAGUACUUGUCUGAGUUACUGAGUUUUAAGCCAGAUGUUAAUUCUACAUUUAGAGUAAAUGUUAUCUGAGAAGAAAUUCUUGCAGCUAGCAGCCAUGAGCUUGUGGGAGGAAACGGAGCUGGUGUUUACUGUCUGUUUUCUUUUUCCUUGCUUGAAGACAAAGGACAGAAAGUGCUACCAUCACUCAUAAGUAACGCUGCAUUUCAGAAAUAUCCUGUGGAAAUCUUAUCAUCAUCCAGACCAACAAUACUGCAGCCCAAGAAGAAGUGGUACUGAUGUGAUGUGGUGGUACAGAAUUGGAACACAAGGAAGAUAGAUGAGCAAGAUCAGUUUACUGCAUUUCUCCAGUCCCUCCCAAAGACCCAUAACAUACGCCAUCAGAAGGAUAAGAGAUGCCUUUAGAGAAAACAAGAACAUUGCGGAUUCUGAAAAAAUAGAAGAACUACUGAAUAAAGCCAAAGCAAACCUCCAGAUUAUUCAACGGCAGGCAGAACUUCCCUAAAUGGAGCAAGGGGUCUCAUACAAAGACAGAACAUAGCAGAAAAUCCUGCAUAGAUUGCAGUACAAUUUUGGAGAAAUAAUCUGGUAUAUUUCAUUCUUGCUGUAAUUAAAGGGUCUUUCAGAGCAAUGAUUAAUGUGGAAUCCAGAGGUUCACUGUGGGAGCUGUUUCUUUCACAUUUAUACAGACAAGAUUGAUUGGAACUAAACUGUAUUUAUAUGACAGAAAGUCUAAAAAUACAAAAUGUG